Molecule: ribosomal RNA, 824 nt
Filed under: uncultured bacterium
Lineage: Bacteria
Description: bacterial SSU rRNA
Rfam family: Bacterial small subunit ribosomal RNA
Source: RNAcentral
GAACGGGCGUCCUUCGGGGCGUUUAGUGGCGCACGGGUGCGUAACGCGUAGCCAACCUGCCCCCGCCUGGGGGAUAGCCCGCCGAAAGGCGGAUUAAUCCCGCAUGCCCCCGGGGCCCGGCAUCGGGCGCCGGGGAAAGAGAGAUCGGGCGGGGAUGGGGCUGCGUGCCAUUAGCUGGUUGGCGGGGUAACGGCCCACCAAGGCGACGAUGGCUAGGGGAGCUGAGAGGCCGGUCCCCCACACUGGCACUGAGACACGGGCCAGACUCCUACGGGAGGCAGCAGUAGGGAAUAUUGGGCAAUGGAGGAGACUCUGACCCAGCCAUGCCGCGUGCCGGACGACGGCCUUCUGGGUUGUAAACGGCUUUUCCCGGGGAAGAAAACAGCCCUGCGGGGCCAACUGACGGUACCCGGGGAAGAAGCACCGGCUAACUCCGUGCCAGCAGCCGCGGUAAUACGGAGGGUGCGAGCGUUGUCCGGAUUUAUUGGGUUUAAAGGGUGCGUAGGCGGCCCGUUAAGUCCGGGGUGAAAGCCCACGGCUCAACCGUGGAACUGCCCCGGAUACUGGCGGGCUUGAGUCCAGGCGAGGUCGGCGGAACGGGCGGUGUAGCGGUGAAAUGCAUAGAUACCGCCCAGAACCCCGAUUGCGAAGGCAGCCGACUAGGCUGGCACUGACGCUGAGGCACGAAAGCGUGGGGAGCGAACAGGAUUAGAUACCCUGGUAGUCCACGCCGUAAACGAUGGAUACUCGCCGGCGGCGCCACACGGUCGCUGGCUGAGCGAAAGCGGUAAGUAUCCCACCUGGGGAGUACGCCCGCAAGGGUG